UUUGGGUUCAGGGCACAGAGGAAGGGUCACACUACCACCAGGGUCAUAAAACUACUGGAAGUGCCCACAACUCCUACGAAAGCCUUGUCAAAUGUGUGUUUCUUUAGGUUCAUGGUAUACAGAGGAAGGGUCACACUACCACCAGGGUCAUAAAACUACUGGAAAUGCCCACAACUCCUACGAAAGCCUUGUCAAAUGUGUGUUUCUUUAGGUUCACGGUACAGAGGAAGGGUCACACUACCACCAGGGUCAUAAAACUACUGGAAGUGCCCACAACUCCUACGAAAGCCUUGUCAAAUGUGUGUUCUUGGGCAGCAAAAUGUCUUGUAACAGUCCACCUUCCUUACAGCAACCAAAUUUCUACCACAUAAAGAACAACCAUUCACACACCGAACCUCACCAAUCCCACCCCUCUAACCCAACUGAAUCAACAGCAAUCGACCAAAAACUAACAGCAUACAUAAAUGGCGCCACUAUAAAAAUUUGCCUGCGCCAUGACGUAAAAAAUAAAAAUCUCCCGCCCAAAACUGCUAAAAAAAUAAGUUUCUUGAUAUCAAACCUUCAGCAUUCCAGCAUUUUCUCCUAACUUAAUUAAUUGAGAACAAUACCAUUAAUACUACCUAUAGAAAAGUCCUGUAACUACCAAUCCCUUCUACACAGACAGGUUAGAAUAAAUCAACACCAAUUCGGCAAGGUUCAUUACAAACAAUUACACUCGAAUGCCUGGAAUCACAACACGGAUCAAACAACAGAUAACCGUGGACCCUCUUCACAUAGACAAGCAAACAAACUUACACUUAUGUACAAGAUCGCAAACACUCACAUUGACAUUGACCCACAUACUUACACAACGCAAACAGUCAAUGUACUCGUAACACACACAUCCAUAAAUACCAAACAUAUCACACCAACACUGACGCAUACAAGCACUCGUACUUUCCAUGCACCAUACGUGAUUGGAACAGCCUCCCUCAACAGAUUUUAGAGUGUGGUACAAUAGGCUCAUUCAGAAAACAAAUACACACUCGCUUGUCACCACAACACACCAACACUAACAAUUAGACUUGAUUCACUUCCCUCCCCUGCACGCUCGGCUCCCCCGUCCCCCCAACAGCCAACACAAAUAUGCGUGUUAUGCGCCUGAUAGGUACCCCACGCAUUAUUAUCAAGAUCAAGACCUCACACAAAUCCUCUGCAGUCCACCUUCUCCUAAUGAUUUUCCUUCCUGACUGUCCUCUUGACAUUUCCAGAUUGGGACGACCACCUCCCUCUUCCAGUCAGGAGGAAUGGUACCAUACGCCAGUCAAGACCGCCUGCCACCAGUUACUGUCCUGCAGGUCACAUCUUUGGGCAGCUCUGCACUGAUAUGUUACAAGUGCCAGGUGCCUCUCCACCCCUCAGCCUUGCCACAGACUCUCCCACCUCGUCAAGAGAGGGUGGACUAUGGUUGAUAGGUGGGUCAGCAUCCGCAACCUGCAACCCAGCGACUGGAAGCUCUCCGCUCAGAGGGUCUGCCGUGUACAACAGCUCAAAGUACUCAGCCCAACAAGCCCUCUGCCCAUCCAUGUCUGACACUAGGCAGCCACCAACUGGAGCUCAACACUGUGGCACACGUCAAGCCUGGGUGGUGGUCAGCGUGUGUGUGUGUGUGUGAGUGAAGGAUGCAGGAGGCAGCCGGCCCUUCCACAUGAGUCAUGGGGAGCAGCUUCCUCAUGGUAAAUAUGUCACACACUAGACCACAAGUGUAAGCGGACACGAUGACGCCGGUGGUGCCUCUGUGAGUGUACGGCGCGGUCUGAUGGUGGCGUCACACUGGACGUUUUCUCCCAACCGUUGGAGCUUGGAGCAACCGCGAUUGUCCGUACACCCAACCAGCAGUGAGUUGUUGGUUUGGGUAAACACUCCUGUCCUCUCGUCUUUGAAGCCACGAUUGUACCCACAACCACUUCUUCCUUCCAGUUAACUGUGGCAACAAGUCCAUAAGUUGAGUACCAGCAGCACAAGGCAUAACAGCCCUUACUGUUGCAAAUGAUGCCGCGUUGAUGCAGGGUGACUGGUUUGUUUACGUAGUGGAUGCGGGCAACUGAACUUGGUUUUCCGCUCUGAGCGCUUUCAUCUUGUGGCGGACAAAGGGAACCCACCCUCGCGUCUUGGACUCGUACAAACAGGAUGCUCGCACACCAAGUCACCGCUUGUAAACCAAGGCAUCUUUCAUGAUAUUUUUUUUGCUUGUAAAUCAAAAUGCUCAUAAACUGAGGCACUCACAAAACGAGGUAGUACUGUAUAACCGGGAUUAGCACUAUUCAGAGUUUUUAGCAGCAGCCAUCAUGUGUGCCACGCAGCAUGUUCCCACUUGGUUGCCUCAAAUGUGUCAGCUGUGCCGUUAAACUUACUUCAACACCUUGACCCGUAGACCGCAGGCUAGAGAGCAUUUGCAGAUUUCAAAGCAUGCGCCGUGUUGAUGAAUUUUUGUGAAAUAGAUGUUUUCAGCAAUUCCCUGUGUGGCAAUUUCAGACAUAAGCACCGUAGUUUAUAGUGCUUUUUCACUGCCAAUCUUGUCUCUACAACAUGAAACAAACUAGAAGUCCCUCGGUUGCAGCGUGGCAGAGACAUGAUGUUGGGAAGAGAUAUCUUUUGGCCAGGCCGGCACUCUUGUUGGUGUGGGUACAGUUGGCCAUGGCGUGGUUUUCCUGCCUCGCCCCGCGCCAAGCACUGGGCCAUGCAUUACACCGACCUGCACGAUUGCCACACCCAUCCUAAUGUGUACUGAGUGUGUCAUGGGUUAAGCCAUUUCUUUUUCUGAGGCUGACUGACAUGUUUAGCAUCACGUGGGUCAGCACUACCCUCUGCUAGGCCUUUGCUGACCACUGUCUCAUCAAAGAACAGUACAGGCACACUCUGGGGGAGGUGGUGGCUGAGUGCUUAGUGUGAUGACUUUGUGGUCCUGAAGACCCUGGUGUGAGUCCUGCUGCAAGUCACUGGCAGUUUCCAAGCAUCACCAAGUGGCAUGAAGGCGCCGCAUGCUUCACAGACCUUCACUCAUCCCCAACUUCAGCAACUUUUGUCGUGAGGAGCAUGAGAGGAGUGACAACUUGGCCAUCUUAAAGCAGUGAAGGCAGUUCCUGGAGAGCACGUCCCACAAACUCAUGGUAAUGCUGCAUUGAGUAAAUCUAAGUUCUAAAACUGCUUACUUUUUGUAAUUUAUUAUUUUACCCGUAACUUGUGUAUCAGUAACUUUAAAUUGUUUGUUAUGCAAUGCUCUAAAGUGAAUUUUGUUAAUCCAAAUUGACCUAAAACAUGAACAGCCUGUUGCAGAGUGAACCAACAUCAAUUUGAAAAUCUGGAUGAUACAAAUGAGGCGUUCUCUGAAAGGUGUGAGGCAGCGUCCUUGGUGGUGAACAGCCUCUUUGCAGCGCCUCGGUGCAUGACACUGUGAAGGAAAGUUCCUGUGCCGUGCGUACAGGAAACUGCAUUUAUGGUACCGCUGUGGUCGAGCAUUGGUGAAAAAUCAGUAUUUCCCCCUCAGCAAUGCCUCCACAUUUGCUUGAUAAAAGUAUCCAAAAACAUCCUAAAAAUAAAAGAAUGCCGUCUCUCUACCGUCACCUGCUUUUGUGUGUUUAAAGGGACGGGUUUAACCCACUGAUGCGCCAUCGGCCUGUAUUCCCGGGUAUGUACAGGCUAUUAUGCUUUGUUCCGAGGCUGUGUGCACUCUAAAGUGUUCACAUAGGGUGGAGCUGGCAACACCGGGUAUCUAGCGCUUUUUGGAAACCCUAAUAACUCUCCCUCCCUCCCACCAAGCAGAAACUCAUGUUCCUGGGGGCAGUGACCUGCCCUAGGCAAGUGUGACUGGUGAGGAAAUGUUAUGGAGGGAAGGGAAGUGUCUGCUGCUGGCUAAAAAAAAAAUCCUGUCCUGUGAAGUAACUUUCUGAUGACCCCGAGCAGUGAGGUGAUUGAAAUUUACCAGUAAAGGCACAUUUGAGUGGUUUGUACACUGCUGCCCCAGGGCGAUAUCCCAACUAUAAAUAGCAGUAAAUGUUGAAAUAAUUUGAUGGCUCUUUGUGAGGGUUAUCUAUAUAAGUUGAUUUAUGAAAUACAUGGAAAUCAUUAAAAAUGGGUAAAUACAGAGAGAGAGACAGACAUUAUAAAACUUUAAAUGGCGAUAUCUCAAAACAUUAUUUUUUUAUUUUAAAAAAUUCGUGGAGGAUUCAAAACUUAAUAUAUUUCCUUGUGCUUUGGUCUGUUUGUUCAGGAUGACGGAUACUUGUGCUUUGGUCUGUUUGUUCAGGAUGACGGAUACUUGUGCUUUGGUCUGUUUGUUCAGGAUGACGGAUACUUGUGCUUUGGUCUGUUUGUUCAGGAUGACGGAUACUUGUGCUUUGGUCUGUUUGUU
Molecule: long non-coding RNA, 4390 nt
Organism: Eriocheir sinensis (Chinese mitten crab)
Lineage: Eukaryota; Metazoa; Arthropoda; Malacostraca; Decapoda; Varunidae
Exons: 3
Source: RefSeq, a predicted model, not a curated record